RNAcentral lists this ribosomal RNA (305 nucleotides) under uncultured bacterium. Its description in RNAcentral is "bacterial SSU rRNA". It matches the Rfam family "Bacterial small subunit ribosomal RNA", at positions 333 to 636 of the family's 1533-position model. The record is from RNAcentral.
UCUAUCCUACGGGGGGCAGCAGUGAGGAAUAUUGGUCAAUGGGCGCGAGCCUGAACCAGCCAAGUCGCGUGAGGGAAGACGGUCCUAUGGAUUGUAAACCUCUUUUGUCGGGGAGCAAAAGACGCCACGCGUGGCGUUCCGAGAGUACCCGAAGAAAAAGCAUCGGCUAACUCCGUGCCAGCAGCCGCGGUAAUACGGAGGAUGCGAGCGUUAUCCGGAUUUAUUGGGUUUAAAGGGUGCGUAGGCGGACAGUCAAGUCAGCGGUAAAAAUGCGGUGCUCAACGCCGUACAGCCGUUGAAACUGG